Molecule: ribosomal RNA, 348 nt
Filed under: uncultured bacterium
Lineage: Bacteria
Description: bacterial SSU rRNA
Rfam family: Bacterial small subunit ribosomal RNA
Source: RNAcentral
GGGUGUAAAGGGUGUGCAGACGGUUUAUUAAGUUGCUUGUUUAAUUCUUCGGCCUAACCGAAGGCUCGCAAGCAAAACUGGUAGACUUGAGGAUGGAAGAGAGAAGUGGAAUUCUCGGAGUAGCGGUAAAAUGCGUAGAUCUCGAGAGGAACACCAAUGGCGAAGGCAGCUUCUUGGUCCAUUCCUGACGUUCAUACACGAAAGCGUGGGGAGCAAACAGGAUUAGAUACCCUGGUAGUCCACGCCGUAAACGAUGAUCACUAGACGUCAGUUUCGUUUAACGAAAUUGGUGUCGUAGCUAACGCGUUAAGUGAUCCGCCUGGGGACUACGGUCGCAAGACUAAAACU